UAUUUCCAGUAGUGUGGUAACGUUGUCACCAUUAUUUUGUUGGCAGCACUGCAUGUCUUCGUUUGCGGCGAAACAAGGCGACAAGAAUUUGGUUGUCGGUUGUUGAGCUGUUGUGCCUGAUAUAUUUUCUUUUCUAUUUGAAUUUUAUAAUUUCCGAUUAAAUUUUGCUCAAAGUUCCGCGUUUUCCAUAAAAAACUAAGCUCUGGUGUUUGAGCGUCAUAAUCCGUCGCGAACAGGCAUAUUGCAUUUACAAUUAAAGCGUAAAUGUUCCAUUAAAACUCGUCUAAAAUAUUUGGUGAAAUAAUUGCGAAGUGAAAAAACCUGAUAUUACGGGCUCCGUGCUGCGGCUAGCGUGUAAGCAAAAGGAAAAAAAAAAUAAUUGCAAUCUUUUGUCUUAGCAUAAAUUGCUGAGCGGUAAUUCGUACGAACAAAAAAUAAUACAACGACUAGUAUCUACACAAGUUAUUUGGCAGAUUGGAUUUGCUUCAAGGCUAGAUUGCAUGUCUGGCACCUGAAAACUUUGGGAAUUCUGCAUAUAUCCAUAAUUCCACGUCCCUUCAACAUUUUUUUGUUUGAACGUUGUAUGCAUGGAAAACCAACGCAGGUGUCUUGCCCUUUGUGAGAAACUAAAAGCGCGCGAAACAAGUAAACACUAGUCUCGUCUUUGCAAUUGAAACAAAUUCCUUUAUACUCGUACAACCUAUCGCCACCACUCCACGGAAAUAAAUUUAGCCAAGAAAUUAUAAUUGCGUUCGACAAAUAACACAAUUAAUUCCGAGCUAACUACUUAUUUGCCAGUAAAUAUAUUUCAGUACAUACAUUUCUUAUAAAUGUUUUAAAACGUCUUGGAAAAGAAUGUGCAAAAAUAACAUAGACAGUAGUUUGCGACAAAAUAACGUAAUUAAUUUUUAAUUACUCUCGCGUAGAAAGUUUGCUCGUGAAAUGAAUUAAUUCUUAGAAUUAGUUUUUUUUUUUUAAUAAAUUAAAAUAUCGCACAUUUCGAAUCAAGCACCAAA
Rhagoletis zephyria (snowberry fruit fly) is the source of this 1016-nucleotide long non-coding RNA. RefSeq lists it as uncharacterized. Lineage: Eukaryota; Metazoa; Arthropoda; Insecta; Diptera; Tephritidae. The record is from RefSeq and is a predicted model, not a curated record.